RNAcentral lists this ribosomal RNA (925 nucleotides) under Paenibacillus lautus. Its description in RNAcentral is "bacterial SSU rRNA". It matches the Rfam family "Bacterial small subunit ribosomal RNA", at positions 24 to 873 of the family's 1533-position model. The record is from RNAcentral. Lineage: Bacteria; Bacillati; Bacillota; Bacilli; Caryophanales; Paenibacillaceae.
UCAGGGUUUCAUGUCCGUUAAGCUUGAUACAUGGGCGUCGAGCGGACCUGAUGGAGUGCUUGCGCUCUUGAAGGGUAGCGGCGGACGGGUGAGUAACACGUAGGCAACCUGCCCUCAAGACUGGGAUAACUACCGGAAACGGUAGCUAAUACCGGAUAAUUUAUUUUGCAGCAUUGUGGAAUAAUGAAAGGCGGAGCAAUCUGUCACUUGAGGAUGGGCCUGCGGCGCAUUAGCUAGUUGGUGGGGUAACGGCCCACCAAGGCGACGAUGCGUAGCCGACCUGAGAGGGUGAACGGCCACACUGGGACUGAGACACGGCCCAGACUCCUACGGGAGGCACCAGUAGGGAAUCUUCCGCGAUGGGCGAAAGCCUGACGGAGCCCCGCCGCGUGAGUGAUGAAGGUUUUCGGAUCGGAAAGCUCUGUUGCCAAGAAAGAACGUCUUCUAAAGUAACUGCUAGGAGAGUGACGGUACUUGAGAAGAAGCCCGGCUAACUAAGGUGCCAGCAGCCGCGGAAAAAACGUAGGGGGCAAGCGUUGCCCGGAAAUUAUUGGGCGUAAAGCGCGCGCAGGCGGUUCUUUAAAGUCUGGUGUUUAAACCCGAGGGCUCAAUUUCGGGUCGACUGGAAACUGGGGGAAUUUGAGUGCAGAAGAGGGAGUGGAAUUCCCCCGUGGUGGCGGAGAAAAUGCGUAAAAUAUGUGGAAGAACCACCAGUGGCGAAGGCCACCUCCUCUGGGCUGAUAACUGACCCUGAGGCGCGAAAGCCGUGGGGGAGCAAACAGGAUUAGAUACCCCGGGUAGUCCAACGCCCGCAAAACGAAUGAAUGCUAGGGUUUUAAGGGGUUUUCGACUACUCUUUGGCGCCCGAAGUUAACACAUUAAAGCUUUUCCCGCCGGGGAGAAGAAACGCGUCGCCAAAACUGAA